This 261-nucleotide long non-coding RNA is filed under the name Phoenix dactylifera (date palm). RNAcentral describes it as "long non-coding RNA (PDAC_LNC003604)". The record is from RNAcentral. Lineage: Eukaryota; Viridiplantae; Streptophyta; Magnoliopsida; Arecales; Arecaceae.
GAGGAGAGAGAGAGAGAGAUAGACUGAAGUACAUGGAUCAUAUCUAGUGGAAUGACCACCCCUUCUCAUGUGAUCUGAUGGUGAUCCUCGUGAUCUGAUGGCCAUCCUCCUGUUGUCCUGUCACCGUCAGCCUUGGCCUUCCUUUUGUUGAGUAAAAUAUGGGGCCAAGAUAGUAACCUUGGUGUUAAUUGAAGGUUUAGGUCUAAGGGUCAUAUACUUUUGGGAAAAAUGCCCAGUGCUAAUGUAAAAGAUGGCCAUUUU